CCUGGCUCAGAUUGAACGCUGGCGGCAUGCCUAACACAUGCAAGUCGAACGGCAGCAUAGUCUAGUUUACUAGAUGGGUGGCGAGUGGCGAACGGGUGAGUAACGCGUAGGAAUAUGCCUUAAAGAGGGGGACAACUUGGGGAAACUCAAGCUAAUACCGCAUAAUCUCUACGGAGAAAAGCUAGGGACCUUCGGGCCUGGCGCUUUAAGAUUAGCCU
RNAcentral lists this ribosomal RNA (218 nucleotides) under uncultured bacterium. Its description in RNAcentral is "partial 16S ribosomal RNA". It matches the Rfam family "Bacterial small subunit ribosomal RNA", at positions 18 to 232 of the family's 1533-position model. The record is from RNAcentral.